RNAcentral lists this long non-coding RNA (2319 nucleotides) under Coffea arabica (coffee). RNAcentral's name for it is "long non-coding RNA (CARA_LNC003567)". Lineage: Eukaryota; Viridiplantae; Streptophyta; Magnoliopsida; Gentianales; Rubiaceae. The record is from RNAcentral.
ACCAAACAUCGAAAUACAUAUACAACAUAACAUUAAGCAUUUACAAGCCAAAAUGGCAUUUAAAAGUGAUACAAAAGUCACUACAUAUGUGGUUUGCCAAAUCAAAAGUGAAAACGGCCCUAAUGAUCCAUUUAGGGUCCCAAUUCAUAUACAAUACAAAAGAGACAUUCAUCUAGUUCAUUCGGCAAUCAUCUAUCAAGAUAUAUUCCAAAAAAGUCAUAUUCCUGUAAGGAAAACAAAAGGAACGGGGUGAGCUAAUUGCCCAGUGAAAAUACAACUCAAGCAACCAAGUUCAUAGAUGCAUCAAGCUUAACAGUCCAAUUUACCAAAAUAAGUAAAGCCACACAUCAAUAAUGAGGAUAAAAGGAUACGUGUGGCUCUCAAGAGCCCUUUUCCUCGUUUGCAUUCUUGAUCGGAUCUCAUUGACUCUCCGUCAAUGUUUAAAAGUAACCAACCGUAGACUACACUUUACUUCCAUUCCAUUCCACCUAACAUUCCUCAACCCCGCCCGCAAUCCAAACACAUGCAUGGUGGUAUUACUCGAGUAAACCGGAAUCAAGAGUCUCUCAUACUACAAGAUUCCAUAAAACAUUGCCCCACGGCACAUUAAUUGGCACGACCAAGCCCUCGCCGGCUCGAUUCAAUAAAUUACCAAUGGGGUUGAGUUCAAAGAUAACAAUUGUAGUCGUUGGACUCGUCCAAACGACAUCAAGUCAUGUAUUUCAUUUCAUAUAACAUUUCAUAUAGCAUUCCAAUAACUUUCCAAUAACAUGCGAAACAAUAAGUGAAAGUGAUAAAGUACACUCUCACUUCAAUCAAGUAACAUUCAACAUCUCAAGUUCAAGUAUCAAAGUCAUAUAAUAACACAUAAGUGAGUAGUACACUCACCACGCUAGCAAAGGUGAUUUCAAGCACUUUAGUCAAAAGAAUGUUGUGCACCACCGUCACGCCCUAAAAACAUGCAAACAAGUACAAUAAGACUCGAUAACGAGUCAUAAACCAAGGCCAAACAUGACCCCAGUAGGGUUCCAUAAGCAUAAACAAACAUGAGAGAAAACCAGAAAUUUCGGAAAUGCAAUUAGCCUUGGCCUUGAAAAAACAGUUUUUGUCCUCAUUUUGCGGUAAUGGCACCAAUUUCACUACGCUUAUCGGAUGAGGGUGAAAGACCCACCAUCUCGAAGCUAAAAGACAGGGCUACAACAUCACAGAAGGUCACUCAACCCAGUUUUGAGUGCAAACAGGUAAAAAAUGCAAGAUACUUCAACAACAACGUAAAACAGAUUCACCAAAACGCAUUCUAGCGAAAACAUUAUAACUCAGGCUCUACAAGUCCAAAUCUGGAAAUUCCAAAACCAGCUGAAAGCUAAGGAACAGGGCUAAAUUUCAUCAGAAGGCCUCAACAACCAAUUCGGAAGCAAUUCCAGCCAAAACAACCAAUUACAGUCGCAAAUCCCAAUUUCGGGUAAAGCCAGAACAGCAAUAGUAAUUUCAACUUUUCUCACUCUACGCUACUCCGAUUGACCUGAAAUUUUGUAGGCACCUCUAAAAUGUCAUUCCCUACAACUUUCAUGUUUUGAGCUAAGGCCAAUUCGGCCUCUAUCUAUGACCUAAAAUUUCGGACAGAAUGUAGCUUCAAGAACCCUAGAUUUUUCAAUUUUCUUCCAAAACCGAAAUUGGUUGCAAUUAAUCACAUUUCCCACCUCCUUAAGUCAUUAAAGACCAUUUCCAAUCAUCAUAGAUGACCCCAUAAUCAUGCUUAUAUUAAAACAGAAAAAUCCCCAAAAAUAAUAAAAUUCCAUCAUUUCAACCACAAAUCAAGAAUUAAUCCAUAAUAUUGCAUCUCUUACUACCACUAAGCAAGAUUUAAGCAUCAAUUAAAGGAGGAGGGUGGUUCUUCACAACUUACCUUUAAAAGAAGAGAGAGAGAGCUAUUGAUCACCUUAACCUUCCAAAUAACUUCACCAAACAACUCACAAACACUACUUGAAGGUGUUUUAUGGAGUAAUUUCAAGGUUGAAUGGUUGGUUGUGAUGAUUUGGAACAAGAUUGAAGUGUUUUCUUCCUUAUGCUUGGAGUAAGAGAGAGAGAAAGAAAGCUUGAGAGGGCCGGCUCUUCUUGAAGAUUUUUGGAAGAUUUUUGGGUCAUUUUUGGUUAUUUAAAGUCAAAUGGUAAGAAUAGGAAUAGUGGUCAAAUGGCAAGACUAAAUCUUAUGGUGACACUUGUCACCUUUUAUUAAAUGCUCACCUACCUUGUCUCCCUUAUAUCAAUCCACUUAGCACCCUCUACUUAUCUCUUAACACCCGGUAAAUUUAAUUUCAG